Molecule: unclassified non-coding RNA, 335 nt
Filed under: uncultured Spiromastix
Lineage: Eukaryota; Fungi; Ascomycota; Eurotiomycetes; Onygenales; Onygenaceae
Description: partial contains 5.8S ribosomal RNA, internal transcribed spacer 2, and large subunit ribosomal RNA
Rfam family: 5.8S ribosomal RNA (bases 1-105)
Source: RNAcentral
GAAAUGCGAUAAGUAAUGUGAAUUGCAGAAUUCCGUGAAUCAUCGAAUCUUUGAACGCACAUUGCGCCUUUUGGUAUUCCGAAAGGCAUGCCUGUCCGAGCGUCAUUGCAACCCCUUCAAGCUCAGCUUGUGUGUUGGGCGGUCGUCCUCGCUGGACGCGCCCCAAAGGCAGUGGCAGCUCCGUGCAUCGGUGCCCGAGCGUAUGGGCUUUAGUUAACCCGCUCUAGUGGCCCGGCCGGCGCUGGCCCCCUAAGUCUUAACUGGACUCCGGUUAAGGUCUUAACUCAAUCUUCGUGGUUGACCUCGGAUCAGGUAGGGAUACCCGCUGAACUUAA